This 238-nucleotide ribosomal RNA is filed under the name uncultured bacterium. Its description in RNAcentral is "partial 16S ribosomal RNA". It matches the Rfam family "Bacterial small subunit ribosomal RNA", at positions 96 to 334 of the family's 1533-position model. The record is from RNAcentral.
CGGCGGACGGGUGAGUAACGCGUGGAUAACCUGCCUCACACAGGGGGAUAACAGUUAGAAAUGACUGCUAAUACCGCAUAAGACCACAGCACCGCAUGGUGCAGGGGCAAAAACUCCGGUGGUAUGAGAUGGACCCGCGUCUGAUUAGGUAGUUGGUGGGGUAACGGCCUACCAAGCCGACGAUCAGUAGCCGACCUGAGAGGGUGACCGGCCACAUUGGGACUGAGACACGGCCCAA